UGCAUCAAGCGGAAAGUUGAUCGCACAAUGCGAAGAAACGGGGACAUAAACAAUAAAGGAAAUUUUGCACCUUAUUUUGUCCAAAACUACUUUAUCAAAAGAAAAUAAGUACAAGAAAAACAAGAAUCCAGUCAGUGUAAAGGAGGCACACAAGUCCAGUCAGUGUAAACGAGGCACACAAGUCAUGAGGUUAUAUCCCACAAGUCCACUUCCUCCGCCCCAACCGAGGGUGUCGAGAAAUGCAGAAU
Molecule: long non-coding RNA, 248 nt
Filed under: Populus trichocarpa (black cottonwood)
Lineage: Eukaryota; Viridiplantae; Streptophyta; Magnoliopsida; Malpighiales; Salicaceae
Description: long non-coding RNA (PTRI_LNC000899)
Source: RNAcentral